UGGGGAAUUUUGCACAAUGGGGGAAACCCUGAUGCAGCGACGCCGCGUGAUUUAGAAGGCCUUCGGGUUGUAAAAAUCUUUUCUAUGGGAAGAAAAUGACAGUACCAUAGGAAUAAGGACCGGCUAAUCACGUGCCAGCAGCCGCGGUAAUACGUAAGGUCCGAGCGUUGUCCGGAAUCAUUGGGCGUAAAGGGUACGUAGGCGGGUAAGCAAGUUAGAAGUGAAAUCCUAUAGCUCAACUAUAGUAAGCUUUUAAAACUGCUCAUCUUGAGGUAUGGAAGGGAAAGUGGAAUUCCUAGUGUAGCGGUGAAAUGCGCAGAUAUUAGGAGGAAUACCGGUGACGAAGGCGACUUUCUGGCCAUAACCUGACGCUGAGGUACGAAAGCGUGGGUAGCAAACAGG
Molecule: ribosomal RNA, 402 nt
Filed under: bacterium
Lineage: Bacteria
Description: partial 16S ribosomal RNA
Rfam family: Bacterial small subunit ribosomal RNA
Source: RNAcentral